RNAcentral lists this ribosomal RNA (446 nucleotides) under uncultured bacterium. RNAcentral describes it as "bacterial SSU rRNA". It matches the Rfam family "Bacterial small subunit ribosomal RNA", at positions 330 to 792 of the family's 1533-position model. The record is from RNAcentral.
UCCAGACUCCUACGGGAGGCAGCAGUGGGGAAUAUUGCACAAUGGGGGAAACCCUGAUGCAGCGACGCCGCGUGAGUGAAGAAGUAUUUCGGUAUGUAAAGCUCUAUCAGCAGGAACGAGACAAGACGGUACCUGACUAAGAAGCCCCGGCUAACUACGUGCCAGCAGCCGCGGUAAUACGUAGGGGGCAAGCGUUAUCCGGAAUCACUGGGUGUAAAGGGAGCGUAGACGGCUGUGCAAGCCUGAAGUGAAAGGCGGGGGCCCAACCCCUGGACUGCUUUGGGAACUGUACGGCUGGAGUGCAGGAGAGGUAAGUGGAAUUCCUAGUGUAGCGGUGAAAUGCGUAGAUAUUAGGAGGAACACCAGUGGCGAAGGCGGUUUACUGGGCUUUUACUGACGCUGAGGCUCGAAAGCGUGGGGAGCAAACAGGAUUAGAUACCCGAGUA